GGGCGUAAGCGCACGCAGGCGGUUUGUUAAGCUAGAUGUGAAAGCCCCGGGCUCAACCUGGGAUGGUCAUUUAGAACUGGCAGACUAGAGUCUUGGAGAGGGGAGUGGAAUUCCAGGUGUAGCGGUGAAAUGCGUAGAUAUCUGGAGGAACAUCAGUGGCGAAGGCGACUCCCUGGCCAAAGACUGACGCUCAUGUGCGAAAGUGUGGGUAGCGAACAGGAUUAGAUAC
This 229-nucleotide ribosomal RNA is filed under the name Alteromonas sp. RNAcentral describes it as "partial 16S ribosomal RNA". It matches the Rfam family "Bacterial small subunit ribosomal RNA", at positions 556 to 785 of the family's 1533-position model. The record is from RNAcentral. Lineage: Bacteria; Pseudomonadati; Pseudomonadota; Gammaproteobacteria; Alteromonadales; Alteromonadaceae.